AAAAAGUUUUAUUUUGGCUUUAUAAUUUAAUUUAUAAGGAUAUUUUAUACGAAGUAUAAUUCUUGAUGGGAUUGUUGUAGUGAUUAUGUUUAAUAAAUUAAAGGGAUUUAGAAUUAGGUACUUAUAAUAGUAUGGACAAAUUUUGUGCCAGCAGUUGCGGUUAGACAGAAUAUGCAAUUAAAUUUUAGUUUGGUUAGUAAUUAACAUGGUUUGUUUUAGUUAGAGUUUGAUUAAUAAGGUGAAAUUUUUUAUUAAUUUUAAUUUUUAAGAAGGUUUGUGAUUUGCUAAAUUUUGAAAGUAGACUAGGAUUAGAUACCCUAUUAUUAAAAACUUGAAUAUAAAUGCCUGAUUAGUAUUAGUUUUGUUCUUGAAAUUUAAAAGAUUUGGCGGUGUUUUAGUCUAUUCAGAGGAAUCUGCCCUGUAAUUGAUAAUCCACGAUAGGAUGAACCUAUUUUUUUAGUUUGUAUACCGUCGUUAUUUGAAUAUCUUAAAAGAGUUUAAUGUUCAUGAGUUUAAAUAAUAAAGAAUAUCAGAUCAAGGUGCAGUUUAUAGAUAGGGAGAGGUGGAUUACAAUGAAUUUAUUUAGAUGGAUAAUUAAUUUAAAUGUUAAUUUGAAAGUGGAUUUGAAAGUAAUUUGAUUAACUUAAUUUGGAUGAUUUUAGCUCUAAAAUAUGCACAUAUCGCCCGUCGCUCCAACUUUAAAGUUGGAUAAGUCGUAACAAAGUAGGCCUAUCGGAAGAUGGGCCUGGAAUUUC
RNAcentral lists this non-coding RNA (755 nucleotides) under Nigidius miwai. The record is from RNAcentral. Lineage: Eukaryota; Metazoa; Arthropoda; Insecta; Coleoptera; Lucanidae.